UGCCCAGCAACUCCUAUCCCUACCUCCUCAUGGUACUGGCCGGGGUACGAGUAACCUUGGGGAAGA
This 66-nucleotide ribozyme is filed under the name Aedes aegypti (yellow fever mosquito). RNAcentral's name for it is "drz-agam-1 ribozyme". It matches the Rfam family "drz-agam-1 ribozyme". The record is from Rfam by way of RNAcentral. Lineage: Eukaryota; Metazoa; Arthropoda; Insecta; Diptera; Culicidae.